RNAcentral lists this non-coding RNA (117 nucleotides) under Gorilla gorilla gorilla (western lowland gorilla). The record is from Rfam by way of RNAcentral. Lineage: Eukaryota; Metazoa; Chordata; Mammalia; Primates; Hominidae.
GCUGGGCGUGGUGGCUCAUGCCUGUAAUCCCAGCACCUUGGGAGGCUGAGGUGGGUGGAUCACCUGAGGUCAGGAAUUCAAAACCAGCCUGGCCAAUAUGGUGAAAACCUGUCUCUA